Molecule: ribosomal RNA, 351 nt
Filed under: uncultured bacterium
Lineage: Bacteria
Description: bacterial SSU rRNA
Rfam family: Bacterial small subunit ribosomal RNA
Source: RNAcentral
AGAGUUUGAUCAUGGCUCAGGAUGAACGCUAGCUACAGGCUUAACACAUGCAAGUCGAGGGGCAGCGGGAUUGAAGCUUGCUUCAAUUGCCGGCGACCGGCGCACGGGUGAGUAACGCGUAUCCAACCUUCCGUACACUCAGGGAUAGCCUUUCGAAAGAAAGAUUAAUACCUGAUGGUAUGAUGAAAUUGCAUGAUAGCAUCAUUAAAGAUUUAUCGGUGUACGAUGGGGAUGCGUUCCAUUAGGUAGUAGGCGGGGUAACGGCCCACUAGCCUACGAUGGAUAGGGGUUCUGAGAGGAAGGUCCCCCANAUUGGAACUGGGACACGGUCCAAACUCCGUACGGGAGGCA